CUAUAUAUAUAGUGCAAGCUGCAAGCAAAUAAAAAGUCUUUGAAAGGUGUAGUAGUAGUAGUAGGUUUUUUUUUUAUAGAUGAGAUAUCAAACUUUGAAAAUAAAUAACUUUUCUGUAAGCGGUAGGAUGUCCGGAAAAAAAAUCGAUAGAUUUUGUUAGGGGAUCGUACUUUACCAAACCUCGGGAAUAGCGAUGUGAGAGAAGGAUCUUCUUAUUCUUACAAACCGCGACGGGUGUGGCUGGCUCAACCCUAUCCUUCUUGCUCCAAUCAAAUUGAUCACGCUUCUCAGUCCGAGAAGAAGGACAGGAAACCAAGUCUAUGCUAAAAAUCUUUUCCCAUGUGUCUUCUGAUGGUUUCAACCUCCAAAUAUCUUGGAUCAUAGUAUCUUUCUCCCUUUUCGACAUACACAAACUAUUAUCCAGAGUGCACAUGUCAAUAUGGUGAGGAUCUGAACCAGCAAUAGCCGGAUUAAUCUUAGGCAGCAACCGG
Molecule: small RNA, 491 nt
Filed under: Arabidopsis thaliana (thale cress)
Lineage: Eukaryota; Viridiplantae; Streptophyta; Magnoliopsida; Brassicales; Brassicaceae
Description: ATSL008790
Source: RNAcentral